This 1244-nucleotide ribosomal RNA is filed under the name Shigella flexneri. RNAcentral describes it as "partial 23S ribosomal RNA". It matches the Rfam family "Bacterial large subunit ribosomal RNA", at positions 55 to 1338 of the family's 2925-position model. Lineage: Bacteria; Pseudomonadati; Pseudomonadota; Gammaproteobacteria; Enterobacterales; Enterobacteriaceae. The record is from RNAcentral.
GACGUGCUAAUCUGCGAUAAGCGUCGGUAAGGUGAUAUGAACCGUUAUAACCGGCGAUUUCCGAAUGGGGAAACCCAGUGUGAUUCGUCACACUAUCAUUAACUGAAUCCAUAGGUUAAUGAGGCGAACCGGGGGAACUGAAACAUCUAAGUACCCCGAGGAAAAGAAAUCAACCGAGAUUCCCCCAGUAGCGGCGAGCGAACGGGGAGCAGCCCAGAGCCUGAAUCAGUGUGUGUGUUAGUGGAAGCGUCUGGAAAGGCGUGCGAUACAGGGUGACAGCCCCGUACACAAAAAUGCACAUACUGUGAGCUCGAUGAGUAGGGCGGGACACGUGGUAUCCUGUCUGAAUAUGGGGGGACCAUCCUCCAAGGCUAAAUACUCCUGACUGACCGAUAGUGAACCAGUACCGUGAGGGAAAGGCGAAAAGAACCCCGGCGAGGGGAGUGAAAAAGAACCUGAAACCGUGUACGUACAAGCAGUGGGAGCACGCUUAGGCGUGUGACUGCGUACCUUUUGUAUAAUGGGUCAGCGACUUAUAUUCUGUAGCAAGGUUAACCGAAUAGGGGAGCCGAAGGGAAACCGAGUCUUAACUGGGCGUUAAGUUGCAGGGUAUAGACCCGAAACCCGGUGAUCUAGCCAUGGGCAGGUUGAAGGUUGGGUAACACUAACUGGAGGACCGAACCGACUAAUGUUGAAAAAUUAGCGGAUGACUUGUGGCUGGGGGUGAAAGGCCAAUCAAACCGGGAGAUAGCUGGUUCUCCCCGAAAGCUAUUUAGGUAGCGCCUCGUGAAUUCAUCUCCGGGGGUAGAGCACUGUUUCGGCAAGGGGGUCAUCCCGACUUACCAACCCGAUGCAAACUGCGAAUACCGGAGAAUGUUAUCACGGGAGACACACGGCGGGUGCUAACGUCCGUCGUGAAGAGGGAAACAACCCAGACCGCCAGCUAAGGUCCCAAAGUCAUGGUUAAGUGGGAAACGAUGUGGGAAGGCCCAGACAGCCAGGAUGUUGGCUUAGAAGCAGCCAUCAUUUAAAGAAAGCGUAAUAGCUCACUGGUCGAGUCGGCCUGCGCGGAAGAUGUAACGGGGCUAAACCAUGCACCGAAGCUGCGGCAGCGACGCUUAUGCGUUGUUGGGUAGGGGAGCGUUCUGUAAGCCUGUGAAGGUGUACUGUGAGGUAUGCUGGAGGUAUCAGAAGUGCGAAUGCUGACAUAAGUAACGAUAAAGCGGGUGAAAAGCCCGCUCGCC